Molecule: long non-coding RNA, 1288 nt
Filed under: Papio anubis (olive baboon)
Lineage: Eukaryota; Metazoa; Chordata; Mammalia; Primates; Cercopithecidae
Description: lncRNA (ENSPANG00000039799.1)
Source: RNAcentral
AUGUAUAUGAAAAUUAAAUUUGAGAAGCGGGGCGAGAAUGAAAACCAAUAACCUACCUCUGGGGCUCAGUCUCCGGUCCUGGGUUGUUCUCCCCAGGAACUGCUGGGCAGGCAUACUUGGCAGGACAUAAUGUUUUAAAAGGUGGGCUAAAUAAAGUGGUGGAGUCAUAUGUGGCUGUGGAUACAGAAAAGUAAAGGAAAGACUGGAGAAUUGUAAGUUAAUUCCUCCUGUUAGAUCAUCCGCGUUAACCCUCUUUUAAGAGAGCAACUCCUAGAAUUCAAGGCCUCCCUUCUUUUUUCCCCCACCUAGAAAAAUAAGCGUUUGUGUUUACUAACCAAGGGUACUGAAGUCAGAGCAGUACAGCCUACUAACGAGUCCCUCCUGUAGUCUAUCCAUCUAGGCCAAUAGGACUAGUGUGUCUGGAAUUGGUGAAUUCUUGGUCUCACUGACUUCAAGAAGGAAGCUGUAGACCCUCGCAUUGAGCGUUACAGUUCUUAAAAAUGGCGUGGACCCAAAGAGGGACCAGCAGCAGGAUUUAUUGUAAACACCAAAGAGCAAACCUUUCAGCCUCCUGAAGGGGACCCCAGUAGAUUGCUAUUGCUAGGUCGGGCAGCCUGCUUUUAUUCCCUUAGCUGAUCCCACCCACAUCCUGCUGAUUGGUCCAUUUUACAGAGAGCUGAUUGGUCUAUUUUACAGAGAGCUGAUUGGUCCAUUUUACAGAGAGCUGAUUGGUCCAUUUUGACAGAGUGCUGAUUGGCACAUUUACAAACCUUGAGCCAGACACAGAGUGCUGAUUGGUGCAUUUACAAUCCUUUAGCUAGACACAGAGUGCUAGACAGAAAAGUUCUCCAAGUCCCCACUAGAUUAGCUAGACACAGAGUGCUGAUUGGUGCAUUUACAAACCUUGAGCUAGACACAGAGUGGGUACUGAUUGGUGUAUUUACAAACCUUGAGCUAGACACACAGGGUGCUGAUUGGUGCAUUUACAAUCCCUGAGCUAGACACAGAGUGCUGAUUGGUGCAUUUACAAUCCUUUAGCUAGACACAGAGUGCUCGACAGAAAAGUUCUACAAGUCCCCACUAGAUUAGCUAGACACAGAGAACUGAUUGGUACAUUUAUAAACCUUGAGCUAGACACAGGGUGCUGAUUGGUGUGUUUACAAACCUUGAGCUAGACAGAGUGCUGAUUGGUGUAUUUACAAUCCUUUAGCUAGACAUAAAGGUUCUCCAAGUCCUCACCAGAUUAGCUAGAUACACAGUGCUGAUUGGCGCAUCCACAAACCCUGAG